RNAcentral lists this ribosomal RNA (347 nucleotides) under uncultured bacterium. RNAcentral's name for it is "partial 16S ribosomal RNA". It matches the Rfam family "Bacterial small subunit ribosomal RNA", at positions 338 to 682 of the family's 1533-position model. The record is from RNAcentral.
CCUACGGGUGGCAGCAGUGAGGAAUAGUGGUCAAUGGACGAGAGUCUGAACCAGCCAAGUAGCGUGAAGGAUGACGGCCCUAUGGGUUGUAAACUUCUUUUAUAGGGGAAGAAAACGUGCCACGUGGGGGAUUUUGUAUGUAACAUAUGAAUAAGGAUCGGCUAACUCCGUGCCAGCAGCCGCGGUAAUAUGGAGGAUCCGAGCGUUAUCCGGCUUUAUUGGGGUGAAAGGGAGCGUAGGUGGAUUGUUAAGUCAGUUGUGAAAGUUUGCGGCUCAACCGUAAAAUUGCAUUUGAUACUGGCAGUCUUGAUUACAGUAGAGGUGGGCGGACUUCGUGGUGUAGCGGU